GAUAUCAACUAAAAAGUCAUCAACAACAAAGUUGAAUAACUCAUCAAGAUCUAAAACUUUUAUUUUGGUCAUUUCUUCAUACGACAAAGUGAUAGUAACAUUGUUCACAAAAUUGACAUAUCUCUUAUCUGGUUUUUUAUAAACUAUAGCACAUAUAUGUAAAAUUUAUGAAUAAUAUUACUAACAUUUCGUCAGAUGAAGAAAUAACAAAAAUAAAAGUUUUAGAUCUUGAUGAGUUAUUCAACUUUGUUGUUGAUGACUUUUUCAAUUGAAAUC
This 276-nucleotide microRNA precursor is filed under the name Oryza sativa Japonica Group (Japanese rice). RNAcentral describes it as "MIR821 microRNA precursor family". It matches the Rfam family "MIR821 microRNA precursor family". The record is from Rfam by way of RNAcentral. Lineage: Eukaryota; Viridiplantae; Streptophyta; Magnoliopsida; Poales; Poaceae.